CACGUAGGGGGCAAGCGUUGUUCGGAAUUAUUGGGCGUAAAGGGCAUGUAGGCGGUUUCGUAAGCCUGGUGUGAAAUCCUGCAGCUUAACUGUAGAAUGGCAUUGGGUACUGCGAGACUUGAAUCACGGAGGGGAAACUAGAAUUCCAGGUGUAGGGGUGGAAUCUGUAGAUAUCUGGAAGAAUACCGGUGGCGAAGGCGGGUUUCUAGCCGAUGAUUGACGCUGAGGUGCGAAAGUGCGGGGAGCAAACAGG
Molecule: ribosomal RNA, 253 nt
Filed under: uncultured bacterium
Lineage: Bacteria
Description: partial 16S ribosomal RNA
Rfam family: Bacterial small subunit ribosomal RNA
Source: RNAcentral